Molecule: ribosomal RNA, 526 nt
Filed under: uncultured bacterium
Lineage: Bacteria
Description: bacterial SSU rRNA
Rfam family: Bacterial small subunit ribosomal RNA
Source: RNAcentral
AGAGUUUGAUUAUGGCUCAGGGUGAACGCUAGCUACAGGCUUAACACAUGCAAGUCGAGGGGCAGCAUUGAGGUUGCUUGCAACUUCAGAUGGCGACCGGCGAAUGGGUGAGUAACGCGUAUCCAACCUGCCGUGUGCUCUGGGAUAGCCCUUAGAAAUGAGGAUUAAUACGAGAUAGUCUCCUUUGAUCGCCUGAGAUUAGGAGUAAAGAUUCAUCGGCACACGAUGGGAUGCGUUCCAUUAGAUAGUUGGCGGGUAACGGCCCACCAAGUCGAUGAUGGAUAGGGGUUCUGAGAGGAACGGUCCCCCACACUGGUACUGAGACACGGACCAGACUCCUACGGGAGGCAGCAGUGAGGAAUAUUGGUCAAGUGGGCGGGAGCCUGAACCAACGCCAAGUAGCGUGAAGGAAGACCGGCCCGUACGGGUUAGUAAACUUCUUUUGUCGGGGAAUAACCGCCACUACGUGUAGUGGUCUGCAUGUACCCGGUGAAUAAGGACCGGCUAAUUCCGUGCCAGCCGCCGC